AGGAAUGCCUAAGGGUUUAAAAAAAGAAUCCUAAUGAGAUUAGGACUUCUCUUUAAAUAAAAAUUAAAGUUUGGUUUGGACUCUAAUUAAAGCCCUAUAUAAGAGGACCCCCUCUUAGCCUUUAAAAAUAACAACCAAGCCAUCAAGAGAUCUCCACCAAGCCUCCAUGCCUCCUCUCUCUCCCUCUCUUUCUCAUACGGCCA
Molecule: long non-coding RNA, 203 nt
Filed under: Elaeis guineensis (African oil palm)
Lineage: Eukaryota; Viridiplantae; Streptophyta; Magnoliopsida; Arecales; Arecaceae
Description: long non-coding RNA (EGUI_LNC038648)
Source: RNAcentral